GAUGAACGCUAGCGGCAGGCCUAACACAUGCAAGUCGAGGGGCAUCAUUAUCUGUUUACAGAUAGAUGGCGACCGGCGCACGGGUGCGUAACGCGUAUAGAACCUACCUUAUAAUAAGGGAUAGCCUGAAGAAAUUUGGAUUAAUACCUUAUGAUAAUAUAGAUUGGCAUCGAUUUAUAUUUAAAGAUUUAUUGUUAUAAGAUGGCUAUGCGUUCUAUUAGCUAGUUGGUAUAGUAACGGUUUACCAAGGCUACGAUAGAUAGGGGUCCUGAGAGGGAGAUCCCCCACACUGGUACUGAGACACGGACCAG
RNAcentral lists this ribosomal RNA (311 nucleotides) under uncultured bacterium. Its description in RNAcentral is "bacterial SSU rRNA". It matches the Rfam family "Bacterial small subunit ribosomal RNA", at positions 28 to 334 of the family's 1533-position model. The record is from RNAcentral.